CCUACGGGGGGCAGCAGUAGGGAAUAUUGCUCAAUGGGGGAAACCCUGAAGCAGCAACGCCGCGUGGAGGAUGAAGGUUUUCGGAUUGUAAACUCCUUUUGUUAGAGAAGAUAAUGACGGUAACUAACGAAUAAGCACCGGCUAACUCCGGGCCAGCAGCCGCGGUAAUACGGAGGGGGCAAGCGUUACUCGGAAUCACUGGGCGUAACGAGCGCGGAGGCGGGAUCGCAAGUCAGAUGUGAAAUCCUAUGGCUUAACCAUAGAACUGCAUUUGAAACUGUUAUUCUAGAGUAUGGGAGAGGUAGGUGGAAUUCUUGGUGUAGGGGUAACAUCCGUAGAGAUCAAGAGGAAUACUCAUUGCGAAGGCGACCUGCUAGACCAUACCUGACGCUGAUGCGCGAAAGCGUGGGGAGCAAACAGGAUUAGAUACCCUUGUAGUC
Molecule: ribosomal RNA, 440 nt
Filed under: uncultured bacterium
Lineage: Bacteria
Description: partial 16S ribosomal RNA
Rfam family: Bacterial small subunit ribosomal RNA
Source: RNAcentral